CUUACAUUCAUUUUAUUUGAGUUCCUUCUUCAGGAAAGAACCCCCAGACCUCUCAAAAAGUAUCAAAGAACUGAAACUCACCAGGUAACCACCUCCAGACAAUGAGACCAGACCCCUUAUUCAUUCUGAUUGCUUCUUUCCCUUUCUGAGUUCCUGUUGUCCUAUACACGGUUACGUUUCUUCCUUGCUAGAUAAACCCCUAGUUUUAGUCAGUCAGGGAGAUGGAUUUGAGACAGAGCUCCCCUCUCCUCGGCUGCAACACCCAGUUACAGCUUUCUUCCUCAGCAAUACUUGUCAUCUCAGUGAUUGGCUUUCUGUGCAGAGAGCCGCAGGAUCUAGAUGUUUCCGUAACAGAUAUAUGGGGCACGGAGGAUUCUUAGGGCAGUGUUUCCGUAACAGAUAUAUGGGGCACGGAGGAUUCUUAGGGCAGUGAAACAAUUCUGUAUGAUGCAAAAACGGUGGGGACAAGUCAUUAUACAUUUGUCCAAACCCACAGAAUGUACGACACCAGGAGUGAAUUCCAUUCAAUUCCACUUAAUUUUUCUGGAAACCCAAAACUGCUUUUUUUUUUUUUUUUUUUUUUUUUUUUUUUGGAGACAGAGUCUCACUCUGUCACCCAGGCUGGAGUACAGUGGCACGAUCUUGGCUCACUGCUGCAACCUCUGACUUCCAGGUUCAGGUGAUUCUCCUGCUUCCACCACCAGAGUCCUGCCUCCACCACCAGAGUAGCUGGGAUUACAGGUAUGCGUCUCCACGCCCGGCUAAUUUUUCUGUUUUAGUAGAGAUGAGAUUUCACCAUGUUGGCCAGGCUGGUCUCGAACUCCUGGCCUCAAGUAUUUUGCCCGUCUCAGCCUUCCAAAGUGCUGGGAUUACAGGCAUGAGCCACCACGCCCCGCCAUCAAAAUUGCUUUUUAAAAGUGUGUUAAAUUCAAAAAAAGAAGCUAGAGGAAAGAGGGCAGAGGGUGGCAUUCAGGCAGCAGAAGGGCUGUCCUCAUGGUCCUUGUGGUGAGGGGAUGACCUCCUGCUGAAGGCCAGUCCACUGAGCUGGCACCCACAGAGGGGGACCUGGACUGUUUGCAGCUGAACAGCCUGUAGCCAGGGCUAUCAGAAGGCAGGGAGACCUGGAGUGCAUUGACAGUCACCACACAGGUUUCCAGGAACCUUCCCUCCCUUCCCUGAGUCAGCAUUCAUGCAUACAUUCCUUCCCUUAUUCAUUCAAAAUGUUUCUGGCCAGCCUACCAGGCACCCAGCACAUCAGACCUCUGAUCAUUUGCUCAUAGACUCAUUCAUUCAUUCACUUAAUCACUGUCUCUGUCUAGGCAGAAAGCAAACAUCUAGUCCUGCCAGCCCUAGACAGAAUGAUUUCAAACCCUAAUUAGUACUGUGGGGCUUAAUGAGGUUUCCUGGGAUUCUCAUUAUCAGGGAAAUCAUUUCACAAAAGCUGUCCAUGAUACAGUGGGCAGGGGCACCUCAUGCCAGUAAGGAGCCUCUUCCUGAGAUGAGCAACCGAGGAAACACCAAUUAAGCAAGGAAGCUGUGGAAGGGGAUGCCCCGGGCUUCCCAGAGUGCAGAGCAUGGAUGCUUAGCUGAGGGGUGGGGCUGGAACCUGGCUGCCAAAGCAGUUCUGCCAGCAGGAGCAGGGAUGGCCAGGCAGCAGCACAGGUCACUGCCCCGCAUGGUCAACAUGCAUUGCGGAUUUUAGCUUGCGUUUACGGAUGGCUUCUAGCUACAAAAGACACAGUGGCGCUCAGUUGCUCACCUGUGUAUUUUAAGUAACUAAUUCCUAUUCACACACUCAUUCAUUUAGCCAUUCAUGCAGGUUUCAGAUGUUUAAUGAGCAUCUACUAUGUGCCAAGCAGCUUCAUAAUAAACACACACUUAUUCAUAAAUCCAUGCAUCUGUAGACUUCAGAUGUUCAAAUGUUCAUAGAUGGCUUGGGGCUUGCAGGGACAGAUCUUCCAGUGUCACCAGGAGCCUCUGGGAUAGGCGGGAAACGCUUCCUACAGGGGGUGGGGCGGGGGGCGCAUUUGAGCUCCAUGUGGGGAAGGCCCAGGGCAACUCUAAGCUGAGUGCAGAGUCCCAGGUCCCGAAAAUAGUGAGGCUUCCAGGUCACGAGGUUACACCAGCAUCCAUGACGUCAGCAGGCCAGCGGCGGGCCCUUAGCCAUGGAGGUUCAGAUCGUGUGGGUUGUGGGUCCCACGGUCCCAGAGUCAGCCGGGCGCCCAUUGGCUUGGCCUCAGGAUGCCCAGGGACAUGCCUGGUGCAGCUGGGGCAGCAGGAGCUCACUCUACCAUGAAAUAUUCAUGGCUGCUGGCAAAGCCCGGCCCUAAAAUAUAGUUUGCAGAAGAAAAAGAGCCAUCAGGCAUUUAAUCAUUGUGUUAAUGAGGCUCUAUUUGGAAGCAAACUCCAUCUGACUGCGUCCUAGACAGCAAGAGUCAGGGCCCGGCCAACCUGUGUUGCCGGCCGCAGGGGCAGCCUCAUCCCUGAGACACCAGUGGGAGACACGCCCGGGCAAGGCACAGGCUUGGCUCGAGGCCAUGGCCAGCGGCCCUCCACUUCAGGGGAGCCCAUGAGAUUAUAACGGCAUCCUGAGGUUUGCCAAAAAGCAUCCUUUUAAGCAGAAAGCAAGCAACGGCCCUGCAUGGAGGCGCCACAGAUCCAGUCUGGCUGAGCAGGGGCUAGACCAACUCGUUUUCCCUAAGCAGCUUCCUCGGGGGAACCACUACCCCUCCUGCCUCCAGCUCCCCCUGCUGCCCAGGCCGCCGCCACAGACACUGCAAAUUACCAUCCAGACAAGAUUGCCGGGCCCUUUACAAAGCCUGAAGCAGCUCCUGCAGCCGCCGUCAGCGUCAGCAGCCGCCCUUCUUCGCCAGGUGUGCUGAUUGCAAGUCUCUCUGUGCGGCAGGAGGGGACGUCUCCAAAGGGCAGGCGUCCAGUGGCAGCACCGCAGGCCUGUGGGUGUUCCACCUGCAGAGGCCCCAGAGCAGCCCACGGAGGGCCACGGUGGUAUUAUUCCCAUUUCACAGGGAAGAAGCAAGGUCAGAGCUCUUCCCAGAUGGCUCAGUGAGUACAUCAUAGGGACAUGCCCCAGGCCACCAGGCCCCACGGCCUCCAGGGUCCUGGCAAGUCCCCCCAGGGACGGUGGGUGGAGAGGAGGGGUUGCUGGCAAAAAUCAGGGCCCCUGGGGAGCAAUCCUCUCCUGUGGGCUACAGGUCUUCAUCAGGGAUGGACUCAGUGGGUCCCAGGCUCCCUUCUCCAGCUCUGCCAAAUUCCAUCCCACCCGGGAGAUGUGGGGUCCGAGCAAAGGGACCCUUCUCCUCUGUGAACUUAGAGGUCCAUAAAGGACAACGGUCCAGGGCAGCGAGGCACGUCGGGGUGGACAGUGACGAGGGAGCCGCGGCCCAGCCAUCCUGCUGUGGGGGAGACGCCCCAAGGGAUGCACAGUGAGGCCUGGGCAGUGGGAGCUCCAGAAGCUACAGAGCAGGAGCCAUGGCUGCAUGUCCAGAGCCAGGCUUUCCAUUCCCACGCUGCCCACGAUGACGGAGCGGAGGACACAGAGGGAGGAGAAAACGCCCCCUGAGAAGGGGGACAGGGACGACAGAGCCUUGGAGGGAGUUCGGACAGGAGGGAGUGCCCACUGAGCGCAUUUCCUGAAACUUCCAGCUCCCCCUCCCCCGAGUCUUUCCCAGGGCCAAGGCCAUCCCUGGUCACGGAGCCCGCACCGCCUCCUCCCUGCAGCGCCAGGCCCAUGCUGCCCGCCCUUACCCGCUCCUCCCGUCCGGCGCUUGAGAGACGUGGUGUCUGGAAAGUCUGUCCCAUCCCAGCUUCCACAACACCCACUGAGACCCACGCCAACGCGCCCCGCCCACGAGAACCCAGGUCACUCCCGCUUGGUGACUGCGGAAGAACUUUCCGGGUGUCACGUUGGUCCAGUCCCAGCAAUUUAAUCAAAUCUGGAAAUCUGGGCCGGCACCUGGUUCGGGACUCAUCCCCUGUUGCUAGGAAACCCAACUCCUGCGGAUCCCACCCUGCUCCAUCCGGAGACAGUGGGAGAGACCCUCCUGCAGCUGAGGCCAGGGCUGGGGAAUGGCUGGAGAUGGAUGGGGACAGCAGUGGCCUUUGCACUGGCUGACUUCACAGCAGAACUCCCACGAGUGCCGAGAAACAGCGUGUAGGGGCGCUGCUCUCCCUACAAGCCCUUCCAGGCGCUGCAGGUCACUUAGAAGCUUGUGGCGCAUCCCUCGGUACCUCUCUCUGCCUGCGCACCAUAAACACCCAGACUACAGGGCCAUACCUGUCUCUUCUUGGUCUCCCCAGCAUCCUGCAGAUUAGUGGCCCUUCAGACACUUUGCACCCCAGUAGGGGGUGGGGAGGCUGGUGGAAAGUGAGCCCUGUGGCUCCUGGAGAAGCGGCGAGCAGCAGGCAGUGUUACACAAGGGUCCUCCCAACCCAGCUGACCUCACCAGGUCAUUCAUGCAAGAAUGCGGGGCCAAUGGGUUUCUGCCAGGCGUGCCAGGGCUGAGGGCACCCCUGGGUCCUCACAGCCCCCACUGUCCAGGGACAGCAGAGUCCUCCUUCCCUUUGCCAUUUCCAUGUUUCUCAUUUCAAUAAUUCUUGCAGCCCAUGUUGUGUAAAUAAAAUUAUUCUUCCCAAAAAAAUCGUUAGCAGAGCCCGACAUUAAUUCCCCUGCAAUCUGUGUAAUUAACUGCAUGUAAUAUAGGGCAUUAAAGGACCGGUUUGCUAAUCACCACUCCUCCGCUCCACGCACCUAAUUAAAUCUCCUUCCUGUUUAUCCACUUACAGGAUCCUCUGCAAAGAUACCAGGCACCAGGAACACUGUUGUAAUAAAUCUUUGCGUAAUUUUAGAGGGUGCAGUCCCACUCUGUUUCAUUCCCACUGCUGAGCCCCUCCUCCCUGCAGCCACGUCUCCCCAUGACUCGGC
RNAcentral lists this long non-coding RNA (4942 nucleotides) under Homo sapiens (human). RNAcentral describes it as "HSALNT0156655". Lineage: Eukaryota; Metazoa; Chordata; Mammalia; Primates; Hominidae. The record is from RNAcentral.